GCCUACGGGGGGCAGCCGUGGGGAAUAUUGCACAAUGGGGGAAACCCUGAUGCAGCGACGCCGCGUGAGCGAUGAAGUAUUUCGGUAUGUAAAGCUCUAUCAGCAGGGAAGAAAAUGACGGUACCUGACUAAGAAGCCCCGGCUAACUACGUGCCAGCAGCCGCGGUAAUACGUAGGGGGCAAGCGUUAUCCGGAUUUACUGGGUGUAAAGGGAGCGUAGCCGGCGGCGCAAGUCCGGAGUGAAAGCCCACGGCCCAACCGU
This 262-nucleotide ribosomal RNA is filed under the name uncultured bacterium. RNAcentral's name for it is "partial 16S ribosomal RNA". It matches the Rfam family "Bacterial small subunit ribosomal RNA", at positions 337 to 616 of the family's 1533-position model. The record is from RNAcentral.